This is a long non-coding RNA of Eleginops maclovinus (Patagonian blennie), 1403 nucleotides long. RefSeq lists it as uncharacterized. The transcript has 13 exons. The record is from RefSeq and is a predicted model, not a curated record. NCBI's taxonomy places the organism in Eukaryota, Metazoa, Chordata, Actinopteri, Perciformes, Eleginopidae.
AAUACUGCUCCAUCGCGACUCUACUGUCUCUUUGGAAAUAGUCAGAAGGUCUAGGAAGUGUGUAGGUCCCUGGUUGUUUUCUUUAAAUUUGAAAGUGGUCAGUAAAUAGAAAUACUGUUAAGCGUUUCGACAACUAGUACGUUUAGCUGUAGAUUGUGACUUUGGUUAAAUCGUAGUGCUUCAAGCUGAAGAGUCACGUUAGCAUUUCCCCGAUGGGCCCCAACCAGCCACGUGGAGAACACUGGCCAAUAUGAAAGACAAAGUGAAAUAUGGUAAUUUCUACUCAACCUCGUUAGUUAACGUGUAAUUUAGCUAGAACCUUCUGAAUGUUACUUCCUCUAAUGCCGAUGCAUUCGUCGUGAAGACACCUAGAAAAGUCAUGCCCAUGCUAACGGUUGCCAAAAAGUGGCCCUCAGUUGAGUGGCUCUCUGCAUAGGUUCCAAACCUUACAAUGGAUGUAUGGGUUCUCCUGAUGUCACUGCAAGGACUGAAAAGGGCCUUUCAAGAUGAUGGGGACAGACUCAGAUAUGUUGCAUAUCCUCCCACCUGAUCCAGCUGUCUAGACACAACUCAUUCCUUGCAGGAAAAAAUCCUGAAAGCUGCCAUAAGAUGUGGUGUAGUCAUGCAGUGCUGCGCCUACUUCCAACCAGCUGAUGAACAUCGCUCUUUGUGCAGACCAAAAGCUUGAGCUGCCAUAAGAUGUGUCAUGCAGUGCGGCAUACACUUCCAAACAACCCGGCCGACUGAAGAACACUCAUUUUGUUCAGAAAGAAAUCCUGUGAGCUGCCCUAGGAUGUGUUGUAGUCGUGCAGUGCUGCGCAUACUUCAAACCAGCUGAAAACCAAUUUUGUGCAGCAAAAAGCCUGAGCUACCAUAAGAUGUGUUGUCGUCAUGCAGUGCUGCAUACACUUCAAACACCCCGGCCGACUGAAGAACACUCAUUUUGUUCAGGAAAAAAUCCUGAAAGCUGCCAUAAGAUGUGGUGUAGUCAUGCAGUGCUGCGCCUACUUCCAACCAGCUGAUGAACAUCGCUCUUUGUGCAGACCGAAAGCUUGAGCUGCCAUAAGAUGUGGCGUGUCAUGCAGUGCGGCAUACACUUCCAAACAACCCGGCCGACUGAAGAACACUCAUUUUGUUCAGGAGGCCUGUGAGCUACCCUAGGAUGUGGUGUAGUCAUGCAGUGCUGCGUAUACUUCAAACCAAGCGGGCUGACUGAAGAACACUCACUUUGUGCAGGGUUGGGCUUGUUUACACCCGAGAUGUCUUGAGACUCGUCUUAUGGAGACCUUAUGACCGAGGGACUCGUGGACACAUCUGAAGAUGGAUUACUUUGUGUGUAUGAAAAACAUGUCACAUUCUAAACAUACACUGAUCUAUUGUAAUAAAGUCUCAGAACCGCCUGA